This 1557-nucleotide long non-coding RNA is filed under the name Rattus norvegicus (Norway rat). RNAcentral's name for it is "long non-coding RNA NONRATT006406". Lineage: Eukaryota; Metazoa; Chordata; Mammalia; Rodentia; Muridae. The record is from RNAcentral.
AGGCAUAAUUCCCAAUCUAAUCUAUGUUAUUAUACCAACGAUUCCGCUGCUUUUGCUGAUACUAGUUGCUUUUGGAACAUGCUGUUUCCAGAUGUUGCAUAAAAGGAAAGCAAGGAGAAACUUCAUCAAAGACUCCACUCCAUUAUCAUCUGAGUGCCUUGCAGAAAGUUUAAAUUCCAACCUGUAAAGGAAGAACAAAAACUAGUCCGAACCAGUCUACACUAUGGAUUUCAAAAAGCACGAGGAAGGAAAGUGGCAUGGAGGUAUAAUAAUGAACUGAUAUUGCUCUGGAAAAUAAGAAUAGUUUUGUAAUCCUUGAUCAGUGUAAGGAAUGGCAUCAUUAGUUUGGAAUGGCUUGAAAUCUCAAAGGAUCUGCAAGAUGAACUGUAAGCUCCCCCUUGAGGCAAAUGUCAAAAUAAUUUUUAUAUGUUCACAGUUUCACUUACAAAAUAUACUGAGUGAGGCCUGCUUGCUCUGCUAAAGGAUACACCCAAACUUCAUGUAAACAAAAUGGACCACGCAGAUAUAAUUUCCAUGGAAAUAUCUGGAAUUACCUGUGUCGGGAGUAGUUACUUUGGCUUUUUUUUAAUCUUCAUAAAUUUUGACCUACUUCAUGUAAUAUAAGUUGUUAUUCCAAUUUACAGUGUGCAGAAACAUUUUACCUUUGCUAAAGUGUUUGAUGAAAAUAGAGUGUUCUGAUAUUUAUAUUUAUGGGCAUUUGAGUUUUACGCACCUGCUGUUUUCAUUAAAAACUGAAUUCACACAGAGACAAAGAAAUCUUUCCAUUGGGAAAACAUUUCUUUUGUGGAAUAGUUCAUGUCCUUUCUGUUUCUUUGCUUUUGGUUCAAUAAAGGUUAGGAAGUCUCUUCAGAAAUAAGGAACCAUUUCACUGACUGUGCUAUAUAUCUGCUGAGACACUACUUAGAGGCAAGAACUGUCUAACUUCAAUUGUGCAAGACAUGUGCCUUACAAUUAUUCCUAAUUUAAAAUUAAACAGAUUUUUGUAAUAAAAUAUCUUUACUAAUACUUGUAUAGACACCGAUGUAGUUAACCUUGGAAAAAAAUGGCAUCUGCAGUACAAACCACAGGUCUUCACAUGUUGCCUAUAGAAUUGCAAAUAGCUCCCUGAGUGUCAGGAAUCAAUUCGGCUCCUCCCUGUCAGUCAAACAGGAUGACUACUGGAAGGCUUUGGAGUCAGUCAGUUGCUGUUUGGCUGAGGGUUUCCUAACUGAAUUUAGCCUGUAGAAUAUACAAAAUUCAAUGGUUUUCAGCAGUGUGAUGCUAAGCAGAACACACUGAUAUUACAGAUUUAAAAAAACAAGAAGAAGAAAAACAAAACUACAAAUCACAUCCAUUAAUGGGCCAUGGACUAGAGGUCACUGACGUUUGCUUAUCUUUGAUGAGUGUUGUUUGUGAUUGUGAACUGUGGCUUCCUUCUGUCUGAUGGAGUUUCCUCAACAUGUAGUGUUUGUUCUUCUCAAGAGAGUUGUAACUAUUUUGUCUUCAAAUGUCCCUGUGUUACUUUUAGCCAAAUAAAGAGUUCUUGUUUCUGAAGAA